Molecule: long non-coding RNA, 269 nt
Filed under: Helianthus annuus (common sunflower)
Lineage: Eukaryota; Viridiplantae; Streptophyta; Magnoliopsida; Asterales; Asteraceae
Description: sRNA HanXRQr2_Chr12g0561481
Source: RNAcentral
AAACGGUUCUUUUAUCCGUUUCUUUGUGUAAAUUCUUUGGGUUGGGUAACAGUUAAAACAAGUCUGGCCCGUUUACCAUCUAUCUCGAUGUAAAUUCAUUUUUAUGUUUCUUUGUACGCUUUACACAUGAUUAAAAAACCAUGUCAUACCAAUCAAGGGCGUAGCUUUUAAGGGGCCGGGAGGGGCACCCGACCCCCCGAACUUUUCGCUCAGUAGUGUUAUGUAUGUACGUUUCGUGUAUAUACGUUUUCGACCCCCCGGUUUUAUAA